AAGUCGUAACAAGGUUUCCGUAGGUGAACCUGCGGAAGGAUCAUUACCGAAGUACAGGCCCUCUCGUAGGGCUAAACUUCCACCCUUUGUUAACUACACUUUGUUGCUUUGGCGAGACGCCCUCGUGGCCACCGGCUCCGGCUGGUGCGCGCUCGCCAGAGAAAACCCAAACCCAAACAUUUUAAUGAUUUGUCUGAAAACAAGUUUAAUUAUUUAAAACUUUCAACAACGGAUCUCUUGGCUCUG
This 246-nucleotide unclassified non-coding RNA is filed under the name air metagenome. RNAcentral describes it as "partial contains small subunit ribosomal RNA, internal transcribed spacer 1, and 5.8S ribosomal RNA". The stretch from base 1 to 46 matches the Rfam family "Eukaryotic small subunit ribosomal RNA", at positions 1786 to 1831 of the family's 1831-position model. The record is from RNAcentral.